This 737-nucleotide long non-coding RNA is filed under the name Marmota monax (woodchuck). Lineage: Eukaryota; Metazoa; Chordata; Mammalia; Rodentia; Sciuridae. The record is from RNAcentral.
GCAGUGGGGAGCUUGGCAGGGCCUGGCCGUCCACUCCCCCAAGCCUAAGUGAGAGCCCUUGCUCUGCCCCCCGCCACCUGGAGUUCCCAGCUGGACAUGCUGCCCUGCAGGCGGCCUGAAGGCCCACUCGGAGCCACAGGGCCCAGUGCCUCCCCUGGGCUCCGUGUUGGAGGACUCGCCCUGUGCGUCUGACCAGAGCUUCGUUCUUGCUCAUGUCCUGGGCAGAGCCACCUGGCACAGAGAGCACUCAUCUAAUGAGCACCCUACGUGCCUGUCCCUCAGGCUGGACCUCCUCCAGCAGGACCCGUCUGAGGUGGGUGGCCCCUCAGAACAUCCUCUCUGUCCCCUCGGGUCUGCUGAGCUGUCCGUCACACGGCCAUCGACGGCGCAGACACACCAGCCAGGGACUGUGGAGGGAGGAGAGGAGACAGACUCCCUGAUGUCGUCCUCUCCCCUGUGUCCUGUGUCCUGUGUCCUUCCCAGCAAUGUGGGUUCCUGGGACCCUCACCCUGGGAGACUCCCGUCCCCUUCUCCAACACCAGUGGUGGUCUUAGCGCUGUUGUGAGUCCCCUGGGGCUUAUUCAGCUGCCCCCUGGGCUGCUUUAAAGGCACAUUAACGUUCAAACCCUCUCCAGUCCUGGUAAAUAGGAUCCGGGCCAAACACCAAGCCCUGUCCUUGAUGGGCCCUUUCCCCACCCCCACCCCAGUCCUGCGGGUCCAGUCCACCCACUUCUCUC